RNAcentral lists this ribosomal RNA (165 nucleotides) under uncultured bacterium. Its description in RNAcentral is "partial 16S rRNA". It matches the Rfam family "Bacterial small subunit ribosomal RNA", at positions 355 to 511 of the family's 1533-position model. The record is from RNAcentral.
UAGGGAAUCUUCCACAAUGGGCGCAAGCCUGAUGGAGCAACACCGCGUGAGUGAACGAAGGGUUUCGGCUCGUAAAGCUCUGUUGUUAAAGAAGAACACGUAUGAGAGUAACUGUUCAUACGUUGACGGUAUUUAACCAGAAAGUCACGGCUAACUACGUGCCAG